Molecule: ribosomal RNA, 482 nt
Filed under: uncultured bacterium
Lineage: Bacteria
Description: SSU rRNA
Rfam family: Bacterial small subunit ribosomal RNA
Source: RNAcentral
AGAACGAACGCUGGCGGCAUGCCUAACACAUGCAAGUCGAACGCUUCCGGGGCUUCGGUCGCGGAGGAGUGGCGCACGGGUGAGUAGCGCGUGGGAACCUGCCCUGUUGUGGGGGAUAACCGAGGGAAACUUCGGCUAAUACCGCAUACGCCCCGGGACUUGGUCUUCGGAUUAGGUCUGGGGGGAAAGAUUGAUCGCAGCAGGAGGGGCCCGCGUCGGAUUAGCUGGUUGGUGGGGUAACGGCUCACCAAGGCGAUGAUCCGUAGCUGGUCUGAGAGGAUGAUCAGCCACACUGGGACUGAGACACGGCCCAGACUCCUACGGGAGGCAGCAGUGGGGAAUAUUGGACAAUGGGCGAAAGCCUGAUCCAGCAAUGCCGCGUGUGUGAAGAAGGUCUUCUGAUUGUAAAGCACUUUCGACGGGGACGAUGAUGACGGUACCCGUAGAAGAAGCCCGGCUAACUUCGUGCGAGCAGCCGCGGU